CCUCCCUCUCUCACUCGCGCCGCUUUUUCUCUUGCGUACAUGGCCGAACAACCGCUACCAAGUUCACCGUCGAGAUGCCGUGGCCACCGGCCUUCCCCCAUCGCACCACCAUGUCCAGGAGCAACACCAUCAUCACCUUCAUCGCCUACGUCCACGGAUUGGAGCCGGGUCAUCAAGGAUUGAGCGCAUCGACCUCUUCUUCAUCAUCACCGACCACUGCUUCUCGGCGUCGAUCCGCGCUGCUCCGACCACCCCCGGCCUCGCCGUCUGCUCCCCCAGCUCCGCGAUGUUGGAGCACAGGAGCCAUACGCCACCGUCGACGACGACUCCUACUACACUGGAGGUGCCUACUACUACGUGCAGGCCGCUGAUGACGACCAGGAGUAGUUUAGGAGGAUCCCAGGCAGGAGGCAUGUGCCUCUUUCGAUCUGUAUCCCAGUUUGUGCUAGCCAUCUUAUGGCAACUUGUUUAACAUAUGUCUGUACUCAGAUAUUGUUGCUUCCGCUGACUCGUUUAUGUUCGAGCACUUGUAUUCGAGCCCUCGAGGCCCC
RNAcentral lists this ribosomal RNA (551 nucleotides) under Triticum aestivum (bread wheat). RNAcentral's name for it is "partial small subunit ribosomal RNA". Lineage: Eukaryota; Viridiplantae; Streptophyta; Magnoliopsida; Poales; Poaceae. The record is from RNAcentral.